GCAGUCAUGGCCGAGCGGUUAAGGCGAUGGACUAGAAAUCCUUUGGGUCUCCCCGCACAGGUUCAAAUCCUGUCGACUGCG
RNAcentral lists this transfer RNA (81 nucleotides) under Dermacentor silvarum. RNAcentral's name for it is "transfer RNA serine (anticodon AGA)". It matches the Rfam family "tRNA". From Rfam's summary of the family: Transfer RNA (tRNA) molecules are approximately 80 nucleotides in length. Their secondary structure includes four short double-helical elements and three loops (D, anti-codon, and T loops). Lineage: Eukaryota; Metazoa; Arthropoda; Arachnida; Ixodida; Ixodidae. The record is from RNAcentral.